RNAcentral lists this ribosomal RNA (427 nucleotides) under uncultured bacterium. RNAcentral's name for it is "bacterial SSU rRNA". It matches the Rfam family "Bacterial small subunit ribosomal RNA", at positions 355 to 774 of the family's 1533-position model. The record is from RNAcentral.
UGGGGAAUAUUGGACAAUGGGGGAAACCCUGAUCCAGCCAUGCCGCGUGUGUGAAGAAGGCCUUUUGGUUGUAAAGCACUUUAAGCAGUGAAGAAGACUCCGUGGUUAAUACCCACGGACGAUGACAUUAGCUGCAGAAUAAGCACCGGCUAACUCUGUGCCAGCAGCCGCGGUAAUACAGAGGGUGCAAGCGUUAAUCGGAAUUACUGGGCGUAAAGGGAGCGUAGGUGGCUCGAUAAGUCAGAUGUGAAAUCCCCGGGCUUAACCUGGGAACUGCAUCUGAUACUGUUGAGCUAGAGUAUGUGAGAGGAAGGUAGAAUUCCAGGUGUAGCGGUGAAAUGCGUAGAGAUCUGGAGGAAUACCGAUGGCGAAGGCAGCCUUCUGGCAUAAUACUGACACUGAGGCUCGAAAGCGUGGGUAGCAAACA